UUUAUUUACAGCUGUCGAGUAAAGACCACUGAAUCAUCAUCUACCGCAGACACAGUUCAGACUCUGGAAUCAACAUCUGUUGGUGAGGAAGAAAGUUCAUUUAAAGGAAGCUCUGAGGUUCCUCAAGUCUCGAUGGUUCUGUUAAUGAUUCCCAUGAUGAUGUUGACCUUAGUACUGUAAAUUGUCUAUUUGAAUACAUGUCUUAAAUUCUCUUCUGCGGACUGAAAAACACUUUGUAAAAUAAAUUCUUUUUUGUGUACAAUAAUAGCUUCAUUGCUUUAUACGUGGAUAACAUUCUUGUAGUGAUUUGUAUAUAUAUAUAUAUCCUAUAUGGACUAUUUUAUUUUUGCUAGCUAUGAACACUUUACUGUACAUAAACUGAUAUUUCUUGAUAUAUAUAUAUAUGUAUUAAUAAACUACCAAAGCGGAGUGAAAUAUUGAAAUAAAAGAGUAAAAAGAAAACAAAAUCUGAAGAGAAAACA
Molecule: long non-coding RNA, 482 nt
Organism: Pomacea canaliculata
Lineage: Eukaryota; Metazoa; Mollusca; Gastropoda; Architaenioglossa; Ampullariidae
Exons: 3
Source: RefSeq, a predicted model, not a curated record